CAUUAGAUGGCUGAAAGUAAGCAAUGGAAUUUUAAACCAUACUAUAGUAACACACAUCUACUUCUAAUGA
This 70-nucleotide transfer RNA is filed under the name Batocera lineolata. Its description in RNAcentral is "tRNA-Lys". Lineage: Eukaryota; Metazoa; Arthropoda; Insecta; Coleoptera; Cerambycidae. The record is from RNAcentral.